ACCGGCGCACGGGUGAGUAACGCGUAUCCAACCUGCCCUUUACUCCGGGAUAGUCUCCUGAAAGGGAGUUUAAUACCGGAUGUGUUUGUCUUUCCGCAUGGGAGCGACAAAUAAAGAUUAAUUGGUAAAGGAUGGGGAUGCGUCCCAUUAGCUUGUUGGCGGGGUAACGGCCCACCAAGGCGACGAUGGGUAGGGGUUCUGAGAGGAAGGUCCCCCACAUUGGAACUGAGACACGGUCCAAACUCC
Molecule: ribosomal RNA, 246 nt
Filed under: uncultured Prevotellaceae bacterium
Lineage: Bacteria; Pseudomonadati; Bacteroidota; Bacteroidia; Bacteroidales; Prevotellaceae
Description: partial 16S ribosomal RNA
Rfam family: Bacterial small subunit ribosomal RNA
Source: RNAcentral